AUUGAACGCUGGCGGCAUGCCUUACACAUGCAAGUCGAACGGCAGCGGGCCUUCGGGUGCCGGCGAGUGGCGAACGGGUGAGUAAUGCAUCGGAACGUGCCAUUGAGUGGGGGAUAACGUAGCGAAAGUUACGCUAAUACCGCAUAUUCUGUGAGCAGGAAAGCAGGGGACCGCAAGGCCUUGCGCUCUUUGAGCGGCCGAUGUCAGAUUAGCUAGUUGGUGAGGUAAAAGGCUUACCAAGGCGACGAUCUGUAGCGGGUCUGAGAGGAUGAUCCGCCACACUGGAACUGAGACACGGUCCAGACUCCUACGGGAGGCAGCAGUGGGGAAUUUUGGACAAAUGGGCGCAAGCCUGAUCCAGCCAUGCCGCGUGAGUGAAGAAGGCCUGGUGUAA
This 394-nucleotide ribosomal RNA is filed under the name uncultured bacterium. RNAcentral describes it as "bacterial SSU rRNA". It matches the Rfam family "Bacterial small subunit ribosomal RNA", at positions 30 to 428 of the family's 1533-position model. The record is from RNAcentral.